AAAAUUUAGGAAUAAGUUUUCUUGUUGAAUGUUUGAAUGUGGAAUUUGAGUUGAACGGUUUAGUUUUAGUUCUUGCAUUUGAAAAUGUAUUCAUUUAAUCGGGGAAUGCCCCGCGAUCACUUGUAUUUAUUCGCCGGGGAAUGCCCCGAAGUAUUUUGUAUUUGGAGGACGUCCGUGAUGAAGGCCCGAGGCAUCGGGUAGCAUGGGAGCAUAGUAUAAAAUUGGUGUAGGGUAGAAUAGGAUUUACAUUUUCGC
RNAcentral lists this long non-coding RNA (255 nucleotides) under Capsicum annuum. Its description in RNAcentral is "long non-coding RNA (CANN_LNC000166)". The record is from RNAcentral. Lineage: Eukaryota; Viridiplantae; Streptophyta; Magnoliopsida; Solanales; Solanaceae.